CUGUUCCAGAGAGAAAGUGGUUUAAAUUUUCUAAGCCUUUCCCAUGAUAACUUUUCCUGUUAAAUACCUGACACACAGAGAGAACCUGCACCCAUUUUAGUCUGGUAUCAGGGCCCUUUGCUUGCUACCGCUUUGAUGCAAUAAGCUGUGCUUGAGCAAAAUGUUAUCUAGUUAUGCUGAUCCUCCUAACAUUUCCAGCACAGCAGAAUAUUGCAAUGAAAUACAACUAAAAAAUGGCUGAUUUCACUAUGCUGUGCCUCUGCCUGGGGUUGACUACCACAUUGUAACCUCCCUGGCCCUGAACCAUUGCCAGGAGGUAACAAAUGGACCAAAUAAAAGCUGCUGCAAAGGUGGGCUCAUGGUCUAGAAGUCUGGUCUGGGUUUCUCUAGAUACAGCACAGUUUGAUGUUUCUGUAAUUAUAUUUCAGUCACAUGUAUAAAAUCAAUCCUGCAGACUUGAAACGACUUGCUGCUUUUGGUUCCUGACGUAGGGGCACAUUUUAAUUCUCCGGGAAGGUUAAUAGCUUCAUGCAUUCAUUGUUUGAGUAAUUCCUUAAAUCCUCAAUGCUUACAUGAGACACUUUAGUGGCUUAUAUUUUCUUCUAUUGAAAUACGUUGCAGGAAAUACUUAGAGCUACUUCAUUAAGUUCCAUUGUAAAAUGCUGUGUGCCUCAGAAAUACUCAUCUGUAAUUGUUGCUCUUAAAGGGAGACCUCAACUCUCUGCUUGAAAACCUGCAGGAAGUCUCUCUGAACUUCAUGGGAGACACCAAGAGCUGCUCCUGUGCUGCUGCUGCUGAAGCCAGUGAAAAAGUUCCCUUCCUCAGGGGUCACUGCAAUACCAGGAUUACAAUGAAUGCCUUUAAUAUCUCCCACUGAUACAUUGUUGAAGCCCUUCAGAGUUCAUUGGCAUAGCACAGCUCCCAGAUGAACUGGGAUGAGCUUGCUGAGUCAGCUGGCAGCAGGAGGAGAGGACUCGUGUCCGGAGCAGCACGGAGUCACUUUGGCUUAAGGUGUUUCCCUGCUGGAAGGAAGGAUACACGGAAUUCAGAGGCAGGAGCUGCCUGUGUAGAGGGGAUUAUUCUCCCAAAGAGAUCUGGCUGUUCCUGCAGGCUGCAGGAGGAAGGAGGCAUUGCCCUUCUCCAGCCACCUAACAGCAUCUGGAAAGUGAAGGUAAUGGACUCGAGGUUUUCCACAGGCUUGUGCAGAAUGUGACAAACACGUGAGCCUGCAUCCCUGGGGCCUGUGUGAGGACAUGGGAAUAGUGUCCCUUGUGUCCCAGCUGAGCUGCCAGAGCUCUACUGCCAAGCAGCCCUGCGCAGCAAUGGGCAGGGCUGGUGAUGGAACUGAUCCAGGGAUGUGUUUCAUGUGUUGUGACAUUUGGGAAUGUGGUUUUUGUGUGUCAUUUCUGGAGGUGUGGAUUUCACUCAGUGAAAAUGUGCCUCCCAGCUUCAGCAGCUCUACUGCACAGUUGCACUUCUCAGCCUGCCUGCAUGCAAACACAGAGCUUGCACUUUGCAGAGAUUCAGAAGGGGGAUAGGAAAUACUGUCUACUAUACAAGAGAAUUAAAGAGGAAAAAAAGAGGAAAAUAAUCUAAUGUGGCUCAGGGGUUCCUUAUGUUUUGCAGAAGGCUUCUUCCAUAGGCUCUCCUUGUGAUUCUUCUGCUUCAUUCUGGCCUCCUGUGUUUGUCAGACACCUUUUAAACUUUGGCCUGAGAGCAUCCUCAGUGCAGAAUGGACAAUGCCAUGCUCAGAAGGAUGGCAACUGGAGGCAGCCUCAGUAGAAAGCCCUCGUUCCAUCACUUCCCAGUUUGUGCUGGAUGGGAUUUUUAUUGUAUUUCUCUUUUUGCUCAUGCUGUAUUUCAGAGACGUGGCCAGCUUCGCCUCUUGGGUUUUCAGCCACGGGGGCUGUAGCUUUCGUUGGUUUCUUUCAUUUCCCUGGUGAAAAAUCUGAUGUCACCAAUGCACUCGGAGCGUACACAAACCUUGAGAGAAAAGAGCAGAUCUGUUUGUUGAAGAACAUCCCCAUGUUCCUUCUGGUGGCAGGGAAGGUGUAAAGGCAGAAAAUGAUUCAAACCCCUGUGUCCUUCCUGACUGCAAAGUGAAUUUUUAGGAAUAUGGAGCACAACAAGCCAACAGACUCACUAGAUGGCUUUUUUUCUUUUUCUGGUUUAUUUAAUCAUUUCCAUUUAACCCUGUUCCCAUGGCACGAGUCUCCCAGCUUCUCCAAAGCGAGCAUAUGGGCAGUAUGUGGAUAUCACAGCUAUGUCUUAAUAUCCAGCUGCUCUUUGUGCCAUGGGGAAUGGCUGCAGGGCUGGCUGGAGUGCCCUGGGUGAACCUGCUGCUCACGCAGAACUAUUUCUGAGUAACAGCAGUCAGUGGCCAUUUAAUCUGGGCAUUGCUGAUCCUUGGCACAGAUUGUUGAGAAGGUGGGAUAGCAGAGAGAAAGCAGAUGGAAUGAAUGGAAGUAAGGAAACUGUUCCGAGGGGAGGAAAGCAAGCUCACUCCUUCUCCUCUGCCUCUACAGAUGGAGGAUUGGGGUCACAAAAGCUCCAUGUGGGUUUAGGAUCCUUGAGAACAGCAGGAGCAGAGUAAUUGGGUGACUGAACAGAGUGUGGAUGCAGCUCUUCCAUCCCUGCCCUCGGUGAAGGAAAUUCUUUGCUCUCUGCAUUCCAACCUGACAGAGCCUUUUUCUUUCAGCCCGGAUGGUUUCACCUCUGUGCCAGGCAGCAGUCCCAGGGGUGAGGCACAGCUAGCUGGAGCAAAUCCCUGCAAACCCUCCUGGAAGCUCUGCAUUAUGCUUGCACCAGCUCUAAAAAUGGACCAUUAGGAAGACACCUCUUGUAGAAAGUGCUCUUGUAGCAGUACAACAAAAUGAUUUCUUCGGGUUCCAGUGCACAAUGGGUGGCUACAAAGCAUGUGCACGGAUUUCUGGAGACACGAUCCAAGGGGGGUGGUAAUAAUGACCCUUUCUGUCACCAGAGAGUCUGCACAAAGAUUCCAGCAGCAUUUUGCACAGUGUGAUAAAAAAUGUGUGAAACCCUCAGCAUCAGUGGAGGUUCAAAGUGAAACAGAAUCAAGCAGAGUAAGGUACCCAUAAGGAAAAGAAAUAGCUGAAUGAUAUUAAGGAAGCCAAGAUAACUGGAAAAAUUAACAGCACCACAGCUUAUAGAGUCUGCUUCUGCUGACAAAGGCAAUCUUCAGCACCCAGUGUCUGCAUUCAGUCUGAAAAGCCUGGAAUGAGCAAAAUAGGAGAAGUUUGGGUUUACAAUGGGAAUUUGAGGCUUGAAGUCAAGGAACUUGAACUCUGACCUCUCCAUAAAGAGAGGCUUCCAGUCUGUGCCAGCAUCCCAGUGCUGAAGGACGCCUGGCUGCCUGUGGCCCGGUGAGCCAGCAGGAUGGGACUGUCUGCAGGAAGGCAGGAAGGGAUUUCCUGGGAAGACUCCCCUUUAGGGAGCCUGGGAUCCUGCAGCAGCUGGCCCUGGCGAGGCUGGGUUUCUGAGACACUUCCCAUCCCUAAGGGACAAAAAGCACAGGCCCAAAGCCACUCGGUCCAAAAUGGAGUGGGGCAUGAAGUCUGCCUUCAGCCUGAGAUAUCCAUGGAUCUCUAAAAUCACACCCCAGAGGUUUUGUGUUCAACUGCUGCAUCUCCAUAAGAACUGUAUGCUGGAGACUUCUUCCCGUGGAAGUCUCCUGCUUGUAUCUGAGGCUGAAACCAGCUGAGACAAAAGUAUUUAUUUUGGAGGGGAGCUUCUUGUGUUUUUACCAUUUACAGCUCCACGUUUGUCUUCAAAAGCAAAGGUCAGAGGGUUGUGUUCAUUAGAAAUAUUUUCUAAAUGUGUGUCUCUGAGCUCUUCAAAGUCCAGAGUAAUAAAAAACAGAAUUGCAGAAAAGGAGGUUUAGGGAAGAUGAG
Molecule: long non-coding RNA, 3911 nt
Organism: Motacilla alba alba
Lineage: Eukaryota; Metazoa; Chordata; Aves; Passeriformes; Motacillidae
Exons: 3
Source: RefSeq, a predicted model, not a curated record